GCGGACGUGGCGCAGUUGGUAGCGCGCGAACUUGCCAAGUUCGAGGCCACGGGUUCGAGACCCGUCGUCCGCU
RNAcentral lists this transfer RNA (73 nucleotides) under Methylibium petroleiphilum PM1. It matches the Rfam family "tRNA". Rfam says of the family: Transfer RNA (tRNA) molecules are approximately 80 nucleotides in length. The record is from Rfam by way of RNAcentral. Lineage: Bacteria; Pseudomonadati; Pseudomonadota; Betaproteobacteria; Burkholderiales; Sphaerotilaceae.